GGUCAAGUGAAGAAGCGCAUACGGUGGAUGCCUUGGCAGUCAGAGGCGAUGAAAGACGUGGUAGCCUGCGAUAAGCUUUGGGGAGUCGGCAAACAGACUGUGAUCCAGAGAUCUCUGAAUGGGGGAACCCACUCAGCAUAAGCUGAGUAUCUUGUACUGAAUACAUAGGUGCAAGAGGCGAACCAGGGGAACUGAAACAUCUAAGUACCCUGAGGAAAAGAAAUCAACCGAGAUUCCCUUAGUAGUGGCGAGCGAACGGGGAUUAGCCCUUAAGCUUCAUUGAUUUUAGCGGAACGCUCUGGAAAGUGCGGCCAUAGUGGGUGAUAGCCCCGUACACGAAAAUCUCUUAUCAAUGAAAUCGAGUAGGACGGAGCACGAGAAACUUUGUCUGAAUAUGGGGGGACCAUCCUCCAAGGCUAAAUACUACUGACUGACCGAUAGUGAACUAGUACCGUGAGGGAAAGGCGAAAAGAACCCCGGAGAGGGGAGUGAAAUAGAUCCUGAAACCGUAUGCGUACAAGCAGUGGGAGCCUACUUUGUUAGGUGACUGCGUACCUUUUGUAUAAUGGGUCAGCGACUUAUAUUCAGUGGCGAGCUUAACCGAAUAGGGGAGGCGUAGCGAAAGCGAGUCUUAAUAGGGCGUUUAGUCGCUGGGUAUAGACCCGAAACCGGGCGAUCUAUCCAUGAGCAGGUUGAAGGUUAGGUAACACUGACUGGAGGACCGAACCCACUCCCGUUGAAAAGGUAGGGGAUGACUUGUGGAUCGGAGUGAAAGGCUAAUCAAGCUCGGAGAUAGCUGGUUCUCCUCGAAAGCUAUUUAGGUAGCGCCUCAUGUAUCACUGUGGGGGUAGAGCACUGUUUCGGCUAGGGGGUCAUCCCGACUUACCAAACCGAUGCAAACUCCGAAUACCUACAAGUGCCGAGCAUGGGAGACACACGGCGGGUGCUAACGUCCGUCGUGAAAAGGGAAACAACCCAGACCGCCAGCUAAGGUCCCAAAGUUGUGGUUAAGUGGUAAACGAUGUGGGAAGGCUUAGACAGCUAGGAGGUUGGCUUAGAAGCAGCCACCCUUUAAAGAAAGCGUAAUAGCUCACUAGUCGAGUCGGCCUGCGCGGAAGAUGUAACGGGGCUCAAACCAUGCACCGAAGCUACGGGUAUCACCUUUUGGUGAUGCGGUAGAGGAGCGUUCUGUAAGCCUGUGAAGGUGAGUUGAGAAGCUUGCUGGAGGUAUCAGAAGUGCGAAUGCUGACAUGAGUAACGACAAUGGGAGUGAAAAACUCCCACGCCGAAAGACCAAGGUUUCCUGCGCAACGUUAAUCGACGCAGGGUUAGUCGGUCCCUAAGGCGAGGCUGAAAAGCGUAGUCGAUGGAAAACAGGUUAAUAUUCCUGUACUUCUGGUUACUGCGAUGGAGGGACGGAGAAGGCUAGGCCAGCUUGGCGUUGGUUGUCCAAGUUUAAGGUGGUAGGCUGAAAUCUUAGGUAAAUCCGGGGUUUCAAGGCCGAGAGCUGAUGACGAGUCGUCUUUUAGAUGACGAAGUGGUUGAUGCCAUGCUUCCAAGAAAAGCUUCUAAGCUUCAGGUAACCAGGAACCGUACCCCAAACCGACACAGGUGGUCGGGUAGAGAAUACCAAGGCGCUUGAGAGAACUCGGGUGAAGGAACUAGGCAAAAUGGCACCGUAACUUCGGGAGAAGGUGCGCCGGCUAGGGUGAAGGAUUUACUCCGUAAGCUCUGGCUGGUCGAAGAUACCAGGCCGCUGCGACUGUUUAUUAAAAACACAGCACUCUGCAAACACGAAAGUGGACGUAUAGGGUGUGACGCCUGCCCGGUGCCGGAAGGUUAAUUGAUGGGGUUAGCGCAAGCGAAGCUCUUGAUCGAAGCCCCGGUAAACGGCGGCCGUAACUAUAACGGUCCUAAGGUAGCGAAAUUCCUUGUCGGGUAAGUUCCGACCUGCACGAAUGGCGUAACGAUGGCGGCGCUGUCUCCACCCGAGACUCAGUGAAAUUGAAAUCGCUGUGAAGAUGCAGUGUAUCCGCGGCUAGACGGAAAGACCCCGUGAACCUUUACUGUAGCUUUGCACUGGACUUUGAGCCUGCUUGUGUAGGAUAGGUGGGAGGCUUUGAAGCGUGGACGCCAGUUCGCGUGGAGCCAUCCUUGAAAUACCACCCUGGCAUGCUUGAGGUUCUAACUCUGGUCCGUGAUCCGGAUCGAGGACAGUGUAUGGUGGGCAGUUUGACUGGGGCGGUCUCCUCCUAAAGAGUAACGGAGGAGUACGAAGGUGCGCUCAGACCGGUCGGAAAUCGGUCGUAGAGUAUAAAGGCAAAAGCGCGCUUGACUGCGAGACAAACACGUCGAGCAGGUACGAAAGUAGGUCUUAGUGAUCCGGUGGUUCUGUAUGGAAGGGCCAUCGCUCAACGGAUAAAAGGUACUCCGGGGAUAACAGGCUGAUACCGCCCAAGAGUUCAUAUCGACGGCGGUGUUUGGCACCUCGAUGUCGGCUCAUCACAUCCUGGGGCUGAAGCCGGUCCCAAGGGUAUGGCUGUUCGCCAUUUAAAGUGGUACGCGAGCUGGGUUUAGAACGUCGUGAGACAGUUCGGUCCCUAUCUGCCGUGGACGUUUGAGAUUUGAGAGGGGCUGCUCCUAGUACGAGAGGACCGGAGUGGACGAACCUCUGGUGUUCCGGUUGUCACGCCAGUGGCAUUGCCGGGUAGCUAUGUUCGGAAAAGAUAACCGCUGAAAGCAUCUAAGCGGGAAACUUGCCUCAAGAUGAGAUCUCACUGGGAACUUGAUUCCCCUGAAGGGCCGUCGAAGACUACGACGUUGAUAGGUUGGGUGUGUAAGCGCUGUGAGGCGUUGAGCUAACCAAUACUAAUUGCCCGUGAGGCUUGACCAU
RNAcentral lists this ribosomal RNA (2893 nucleotides) under Pseudomonas kermanshahensis. Its description in RNAcentral is "23S ribosomal RNA". It matches the Rfam family "Bacterial large subunit ribosomal RNA". The record is from RNAcentral. Lineage: Bacteria; Pseudomonadati; Pseudomonadota; Gammaproteobacteria; Pseudomonadales; Pseudomonadaceae.